AGCAGCCGCGGUAAUUCCAGCUCCAAUAGCGUAUAUUAAAGUUGUUGCAGUUAAAAAGCUCGUAGUUGAAUUUCGGGAUUAGUAGGUUGGUCGUGCCUCUGGUAUGUACUCGCCUUACUGGUUCCUCCUUCUUGAAGAACUGUAAUGCCAUUAAUUUGGUGUUGCAGGGAAACAGGACUGUUACUUUGAAAAAUUAGAGUGUUUAAAGCAGGCCAAUGCCUGAAUACAUUAGCAUGGAAUAAUGAAAUAGGACGUUGAUCCUAUUUUGUUGGUUUCUAGGAUUGACGUAAUGAUUAAUAGGGAUAGUUGGGGGCAUUAGUAUUCAAUUGUCAGAGGUGAAAUUCUUGGAUUUAUUGAAGACUAACUACUGCGAAAGCAUUUGCCAAGGAUGUUUUCAUUAAUCAAGAACGAAAGUUAGGGGAUCGAAGACGAUCAGAUACCGUCGUAGUCUUAACCAUAAACCUAUGCCGACUAG
This 475-nucleotide ribosomal RNA is filed under the name uncultured Glomus. Its description in RNAcentral is "SSU rRNA". It matches the Rfam family "Eukaryotic small subunit ribosomal RNA", at positions 569 to 1049 of the family's 1831-position model. The record is from RNAcentral. Lineage: Eukaryota; Fungi; Glomeromycota; Glomeromycetes; Glomerales; Glomeraceae.